Molecule: RNA transcript, 1084 nt
Organism: Aedes aegypti (yellow fever mosquito)
Lineage: Eukaryota; Metazoa; Arthropoda; Insecta; Diptera; Culicidae
Exons: 6
Source: RefSeq, a predicted model, not a curated record
UUCUUUUCCAGUUUUCUUUGUUUAUCGAUCAGACAGGGUAAACAAAAAUAAGUAGUUUUUUGUUCGAAAAAUUAUAAAUUUAUAAAUUAUUUGAUAAUUUAUAUCUUUUUAAAGUUUGCCUCAAUUUAUCAGUGAUAUUUCAGGAAAAAUUGUAUUUAAAUAGGUUAUACAUAAUACCACCGUCCAGACUAAUAGCAACAGCUUUGACGUGAACAACACCAACUUACCAACCUAUCGUUCUAUAGCAACGCGUAAUUGUUUGUUGUAAAUGAUUAUCGAGCAAAUCGUCCAUAAUGGAAACACCAUUUCAAUCCUCAUUUGAUGCUUGAUCAACACCUAGUUCUUCUGUUCAUUAGGCGGAUUGAACAUAUUAAAACAUUAUGUCAGCGAUGCGGUUUUCAGUCAGCUUUCAACUAGGUCGGAAGUCCGCGAAUCCCCGGUUAGGAAACGUGCGCUGAUUAGGGGGCGUCGGGGUAACUUCGCCAAUGGGGUGAAAUGGCCAACGUAAAAUGUCAGCCGAGACAGCAAAUCCCACUAAGUCUUCCAUUAAACCAAUAAUGUCUAAAAUCCGCCUGAAGACAAUCGGGAUUCCAUUCAAAUGCUGUGCACCGGGAUGUAACAUGGACCGCAGCAAGAUCUCGUACUCGCUUCACCCCUUCCCGAAUGAGACUACGGAACCCGAACGUCACGAAAUCUGGAAACGCUUGCUACUAAUUGUCCAGCCAGUCACUCGGUCGAACGUCGUAUGUGCGAGACACUUCCCGAAGCAAAGCUUCAAACAUAAUGCCGACGGAACGUCAUCGAUUUUCCUUAAACCGGACGCCUAUCCCUAUGCGACCAGUAAGCUGAAGCUACGAUUGGAGCGACAUCGUGCCGAACGAGAAAAGACCGCAGCAUCUAACAAGAAACUCUGCAAUGACAAAGAAACAAACCGCAACAACAGGUCUUCCGGCGACGACGACGACGACAACCCUCAAUCCGACAGGGAAGUUCAGAUAAUUGAGGACCUACUGUAGCUUUUUAGCAUUCAGUUUUAGUUUAUAACAUUCUCCUAUUUAUAAUGUACAAAGGCUAAGUCAAUUUA